AUUUUGAGACGGAUUUGAUGAAGUAGUUGUAAAGAUGUGCGAUCUCUCAGUUUUUAGCUUCUACAAACCUCAACUUUGUACAUGAUGCUGUUCAGGAAAUUGGAAAACAUGUUGCCAUGGUUUAGUCAAAAACUUUUGUGUUCUGUUGUUCCUUGUGGAACCAGUAGCACAACUGUGACAUGUCUUAGAAGGAGAGUAAUGGUGAUGAUUGUUGUGACCAGGAGGCAAUUAAGUGAAGAAAAAAACCAUGAACAAAACCGUAAAGUAAAAUUACCACCUGAAGAACCAGUUGGUUGUUGCAUGAGUGGCUGUUAUGACUGUGUGUGGGUUCAGUAUGCUCAAGAUUUGUUAGAUUACUAUAAAGAUGGUGGGCAGAAGGCAAUGCAAGUUAUUAAUCAGAUGGAUAAUGAAAAUUUGAAGACAUUUUUGAAACUGGAGUUGAAAACCAAAGGAAUUUUUUGAUGAAUAUUAAGUAAUAAGUAAGUGUAGGAAAUAGCCUUUUUUUUCUGAUGAUCUUUUACCUUUGUUCAGCUAGAAGGUGCACAUCCUCUGAUGGUCUUUUACGUUUGAUCCGCUAGAAGGUACACAUCCUAUGAUAGUCUUUUCCCUUUUUUCAGCUAGAAGGUGCACAUCCUAUGGUGAUCUUUUACCUUAGUUCAGCUAGAAGGUGCACAUCCUAAGUUUAGUGACAUAAUAUUACACUUUGAAAUGUUUUCAUCAUCAGACUGCAGCACAACGGCUUGUUAUAUUUCUUAUAGCAUGUAUAACAAUAAUAAUACAUCUGCUAUAGAAUCACUUGAAAUAUCUUAGAAAUACUAUGGUGCUUUGGGCCAAGUCCCAAGGAUAUGACUAAGUAUGGAAAGUCAGUUGACAUGAACACUUGAAUUACCUUCAGAGAUAUUAAUGCUAAGUUAUGUUAAGUAAUAUACAAACUAGAUAAUAUUUCAAUGGAGGAAAUUUUAGAAAUAAAUUUUUGGACAUAAAUAGG
Limulus polyphemus (Atlantic horseshoe crab) is the source of this 988-nucleotide RNA transcript. RefSeq lists it as uncharacterized. The record is from RefSeq and is a predicted model, not a curated record. Lineage: Eukaryota; Metazoa; Arthropoda; Merostomata; Xiphosura; Limulidae. The transcript is spliced from 2 exons.